UACGGAGGGAGCAAGCGUUACUCGGAAUUAUUGGGCGUAAAGGGCGCGUAGGCGAUUUGAUAAGUCUUGUGUGAAAGCCCAGGGCCUAACCCUGGAAGUGCACGAGAGACUGUUGAAUUUGAGUUCAGGAGAGGAAGGCAGAAUUCCCGGUGUAGCGGUGAAAUGCGUAGAUAUCGGGAGGAAUACCAGUGGCGAAGGCGGCCUUCUGGACUGACACUGACGCUGAGGCGCGAAAGCCAGGGGAGCAAACGGG
RNAcentral lists this ribosomal RNA (253 nucleotides) under uncultured Acidobacteriota bacterium. RNAcentral describes it as "uncultured Acidobacteria bacterium partial 16S ribosomal RNA". It matches the Rfam family "Bacterial small subunit ribosomal RNA", at positions 524 to 776 of the family's 1533-position model. The record is from RNAcentral. Lineage: Bacteria; Pseudomonadati; Acidobacteriota.